ACCUCCGAGAUUCAGCCCCAGGUAUAGAUA
This 30-nucleotide small RNA is filed under the name Bombyx mori (domestic silkworm). RNAcentral describes it as "ovarian small RNA-11341". The record is from RNAcentral. Lineage: Eukaryota; Metazoa; Arthropoda; Insecta; Lepidoptera; Bombycidae.